RNAcentral lists this ribosomal RNA (2762 nucleotides) under Enterobacter cloacae. RNAcentral describes it as "bacterial LSU rRNA". It matches the Rfam family "Bacterial large subunit ribosomal RNA". The record is from RNAcentral. Lineage: Bacteria; Pseudomonadati; Pseudomonadota; Gammaproteobacteria; Enterobacterales; Enterobacteriaceae.
CACUAUCGUUAACUGAAUACAUAGGUUAACGAGGCGAACCGGGGGAACUGAAACAUCUAAGUACCCCGAGGAAAAGAAAUCAACCGAGAUUCCCCCAGUAGCGGCGAGCGAACGGGGAGCAGCCCAGAGUCUGAAUCAGCUUGUGUGUUAGUGGAAGCGUCUGGAAAGUCGCACGGUACAGGGUGAAAGUCCCGUACACGAAAAUGCACAGGCUGUGAACUCGAAGAGUAGGGCGGGACACGUGGUAUCCUGUCUGAAUAUGGGGGGACCAUCCUCCAAGGCUAAAUACUCCUGACUGACCGAUAGUGAACCAGUACCGUGAGGGAAAGGCGAAAAGAACCCCGGCGAGGGGAGUGAAAAAGAACCUGAAACCGUGUACGUACAAGCAGUGGGAGCACCUUCGUGGUGUGACUGCGUACCUUUUGUAUAAUGGGUCAGCGACUUAUAUUCUGUAGCAAGGUUAACCGUAUAGGGGAGCCGAAGGGAAACCGAGUCUUAACUGGGCGUUAAGUUGCAGGGUAUAGACCCGAAACCCGGUGAUCUAGCCAUGGGCAGGUUGAAGGUUGGGUAACACUAACUGGAGGACCGAACCGACUAAUGUUGAAAAAUUAGCGGAUGACCUGUGGCUGGGGGUGAAAGGCCAAUCAAACCGGGAGAUAGCUGGUUCUCCCCGAAAGCUAUUUAGGUAGCGCCUCGUGAACUCAUCUUCGGGGGUAGAGCACUGUUUCGGCUAGGGGGCCAUCCCGGCUUACCAACCCGAUGCAAACUACGAAUACCGAAGAAUGUUAUCACGGGAGACACACGGCGGGUGCUAACGUCCGUCGUGAAGAGGGAAACAACCCAGACCGCCAGCUAAGGUCCCAAAGUCAUGGUUAAGUGGGAAACGAUGUGGGAAGGCCCAGACAGCCAGGAUGUUGGCUUAGAAGCAGCCAUCAUUUAAAGAAAGCGUAAUAGCUCACUGGUCGAGUCGGCCUGCGCGGAAGAUGUAACGGGGCUAAACCAUGCACCGAAGCUGCGGCAGCGACGCUUAUGCGUUGUUGGGUAGGGGAGCGUUCUGUAAGCCGUUGAAGGUGGCCUGUGAGGGCUGCUGGAGGUAUCAGAAGUGCGAAUGCUGACAUAAGUAACGAUAAAGCGGGUGAAAAGCCCGCUCGCCGGAAGACCAAGGGUUCCUGUCCAACGUUAAUCGGGGCAGGGUGAGUCGACCCCUAAGGCGAGGCCGAAAGGCGUAGUCGAUGGGAAACAGGUUAAUAUUCCUGUACUUGGUGUUACUGCGAAGGGGGGACGGAGAAGGCUAUGUUAGCCGGGCGACGGUUGUCCCGGUUUAAGCAUGUAGGCGGAGGUUCCAGGUAAAUCCGGUACCUUUUAACGCUGAGGUGUGAUGACGAGGCACUACGGUGCUGAAGUAACAAAUGCCCUGCUUCCAGGAAAAGCCUCUAAGCAUCAGGUAACACGAAAUCGUACCCCAAACCGACACAGGUGGUCAGGUAGAGAAUACCAAGGCGCUUGAGAGAACUCGGGUGAAGGAACUAGGCAAAAUGGUGCCGUAACUUCGGGAGAAGGCACGCUGAUAUGUAGGUGAAGCCCCUGCGGGUGGAGCUGAAAUCAGUCGAAGAUACCAGCUGGCUGCAACUGUUUAUUAAAAACACAGCACUGUGCAAACACGAAAGUGGACGUAUACGGUGUGACGCCUGCCCGGUGCCGGAAGGUUAAUUGAUGGGGUUAGCGGUAACGCGAAGCUCUUGAUCGAAGCCCCGGUAAACGGCGGCCGUAACUAUAACGGUCCUAAGGUAGCGAAAUUCCUUGUCGGGUAAGUUCCGACCUGCACGAAUGGCGUAAUGAUGGCCAGGCUGUCUCCACCCGAGACUCAGUGAAAUUGAACUCGCUGUGAAGAUGCAGUGUACCCGCGGCAAGACGGAAAGACCCCGUGAACCUUUACUAUAGCUUGACACUGAACACUGGUCCUUGAUGUGUAGGAUAGGUGGGAGGCUUUGAAGCGUGGACGCCAGUCUGCGUGGAGCCGUCCUUGAAAUACCACCCUUUAAUGGCUGGUGUUCUAACGUAGACCCGUAAUCCGGGUUGCGGACAGUGUCUGGUGGGUAGUUUGACUGGGGCGGUCUCCUCCCAAAGAGUAACGGAGGAGCACGAAGGUUAGCUAAUCCUGGUCGGACAUCAGGAGGUUAGUGCAAUGGCAUAAGCUAGCUUGACUGCGAGAGUGACGGCUCGAGCAGGUGCGAAAGCAGGUCAUAGUGAUCCGGUGGUUCUGAAUGGAAGGGCCAUCGCUCAACGGAUAAAAGGUACUCCGGGGAUAACAGGCUGAUACCGCCCAAGAGUUCAUAUCGACGGCGGUGUUUGGCACCUCGAUGUCGGCUCAUCACAUCCUGGGGCUGAAGUAGGUCCCAAGGGUAUGGCUGUUCGCCAUUUAAAGUGGUACGCGAGCUGGGUUUAGAACGUCGUGAGACAGUUCGGUCCCUAUCUGCCGUGGGCGCUGGAGAAUUGAGGGGGGCUGCUCCUAGUACGAGAGGACCGGAGUGGACGCAUCACUGGUGUUCGGGUUGUCAUGCCAAUGGCACUGCCCGGUAGCUAAAUGCGGAAGAGAUAAGUGCUGAAAGCAUCUAAGCACGAAACUUGCCCCGAGAUGAGUUCUCCCUGACUCCUUGAGAGUCCUGAAGGAACGUUGAAGACGACGACGUUGAUAGGUCGGGUGUGUAAGCGCAGCGAUGCGUUGAGCUAACCGAUACUAAUGAACCGUGAGGCUUAACCUU